Molecule: ribosomal RNA, 475 nt
Filed under: uncultured bacterium
Lineage: Bacteria
Description: bacterial SSU rRNA
Rfam family: Bacterial small subunit ribosomal RNA
Source: RNAcentral
ACUCCUACGGGAGGCAGCAGUAGGGGAAUCUUCCACAAUGGGCGCAAGCCUGAUGGAGCAACACCGCGUGAGUGAAGAAGGGUUUCGGCUCGUAAAGCUCUGUUGUUAAAGAAGAACACGUAUGAGAGUAACUGUUCAUACGUUGACGGUAUUUAACCAGAAAGUCACGGCUAACUACGUGCCAGCAGCCGCGGUAAUACGUAGGUGGCAAGCGUUAUCCGGAUUUAUUGGGCGUAAAGAGAGUGCAGGCGGUUUUCUAAGUCUGAUGUGAAAGCCUUCGGCUUAACCGGGAGAAGUGCAUCGGAAACUGGAUAACUUGAGUGCAGAAGAGGGUAGUGGAACUCCAUGUGUAGCGGUGGAAUGCGUAGAUAUAUGGAAGAACACCAGUGGCGAAGGCGGCUACCUGGUCUGCAACUGACGCUGAGACUCGAAAGCAUGGGUAGCGAACAGGAUUAGAUACCCUGGUAGGAUAGCG